UCCACCACCCACAUUAAUACUUUAGGUCUAUUGCAUGAUAAAUGCGAAAAUUAUUAUUAUUUUUUGCGGGUUUGAUUUUUAUUACAUGAUGCUAUUUAUUGAUCGUGGAAGGGUC
Non-coding RNA from Bombyx mori (domestic silkworm), 115 nucleotides. NCBI's taxonomy places the organism in Eukaryota, Metazoa, Arthropoda, Insecta, Lepidoptera, Bombycidae. The record is from RefSeq and is marked provisional.